Apis cerana (Asiatic honeybee) is the source of this 1746-nucleotide long non-coding RNA. RefSeq lists it as uncharacterized. NCBI's taxonomy places the organism in Eukaryota, Metazoa, Arthropoda, Insecta, Hymenoptera, Apidae. The record is from RefSeq and is a predicted model, not a curated record.
AGUUUAUUUCGAUUCACGUUUCGUAUAGGUUAGUUAGUAAUUAAUAAGAAAAUGUGAAUAAGUAAAUCGAAAAUUUGCAAGAAAUGAUUAUUUGGAAUUUGAGGGUGUUGCAGAAACUGAGAUUUCAAAUUGGAGAUUGGAGACAAGUUAAAUGACAUGGAAUAUUUUCUUAAGUUACGUACAGUAUAUAUUUAUGGAUUAUAUUCUCCAAAGAAAUCGAAGAUUUACCAUUAUUUUGAUAUUUCUACAAUUUCCAAUGCUUAUUUAUUUUAAUAAUUGAUAUAUUACAUUACAUUCCCAUGUUAUGCAAAAUGAUCAUUUCAAUUUUAAAAUGGACACGUUAUUUGGAAUAUUAAUCAAUGGGGACAAUUGUUAUCAAGGAAAGGAUUGUGCAGAACAUUUGGAAAUAGUUGAUCGAAUUUUGAUAUUAUAUAUUCUAUUCUUCUCUAAGAAUGAAAGAUAAAUUUGGAUUAAAUAAAUUUGGAAACUUAUUUUCUGAGAUACAAUGAAUAUUGGAUAAUAGAUGGAAAGAUUUAAGCCAGCAGAAGGAGAAUUAUUAUUAUGUUGUGAAAAUGAAGGAGAUGAGAAUUAAUGCACGAGAAUAACUUUUUGGUCAGAAAAAUGAGCUUAACUUAUUAUAAAAGAAAACUUAAAGAAAGAAAUAAAAAAAUUCAGAAUGCAAGAUUAUAAAUAAUAAUAAUAAUACACGAGCAUUCCUUAGAGAAGAAGCUAUCUCGCAUCCAAUGUGCGUGUCAUAAUCAGGAAGAGUAACGCCUUGUAUUGACAAUCGUCGCGGCAGAGGCUACUUACUACUACGGAGGAGUAAAUUGCGUAGGACGUGAGACACUCGUGGAAAUAAUUGAGUGCGUGUCGCUGGGCUUGAUGAGCAAUUACGAGGAUCUCCGUGAAUGAAUCGUUCCCCAUAAAAAUGUUUCUCUCGUGGCCGGUUCAGUUUCAGAUCGACAACAGAAGAAAAGAUAAAAAAAAUUGAACAAAAGAAAAGAGAUGAAGAAAAGAUCGAAGAUACAAGGAGAAGAUAGAAGAUAUUCAAGAGAUGAUGUUAUCUUGACAUCCAAGAAAAAAAGAAAAGAGUAGGAAUGAAAUAAGAAAAGAAGAAGAGAAAAGAUCAAAGAAGAAAAGAGAAAAGACAAAGGCAAUGAAGAAAAUAUAAAAGAUAAGAGAAAGAAAAAAAAGGAAGAGAAUUGAAAAAAAAAAAGAUAUUAACACAACGUCGUAUCGUGUAUCACGCUGGUUAACGCUGAACGAAACCAGAAGAAAUUACAUGAUCGUUUCACUUUCGCACGCGGAAGCCAAUCUUGACGACGCGACACGGCGUCGCGACGUCCAUGAACAAGAAUAUGCGACCGAAACAGCACGGAUCGGUUAACGGUAAUGUUCGUUCAUGCUGUUUCAUCGUGACGUUGAGAAGUUGUGAAUAUCUUUUAAUGAGAAAUUUUUUGUACAUCUUUUUUUACUUUUAUAUUUUUUUGAAGUUUGUUCAAGCGUGAAGUGUGCUGGGAUUUUAUUUUUUGAAUAUUAUUUAACUUUUUCAUUAAAGUAACAUAAGUUAAAAUUUAAAUUAAAGAUUGAAAUGAGAUAAUUGUUUGAAUAUGUGAUUUUAUUUAAAUUGAACUAUAUAGAUUGAAUUAAUUUCUCACGUUAUUUCAUUGCAUCAUGGAAUUAAUCAUUUAUUGUAUAUAAGUUAUAUUUAUUGCGAUAAUAAUAAAUAUUAUUAUUCAAUAGUAA